GUUUGUGCUUUAGGGUGUACACCCUAAUGCAAUAGGCUGCGCACUCCUAUGCUCUCACCUAAUGCAAUGCCAUAGGAAAGCAUUGGGAGGCUAUUGCGCAUGCCUAGCAAAAUGCUGCGCUACAGCAAUCAGCAUUUCCUACUAGAGACACUUUAAAUCACUGGGGAAUGUGCAGCGCCUCGAUGCAGAGUGUGGAGACAUUUAACGCCAGUGCUGUACACUGUGAGGUGUUACUAGGCAGCCAUGUUAACACAGCCUUUUCUGAAAUGGCAACGUUUACAGUGCUCAGUGUGCAGUGACAGGCUAUAGACACCAGAACCACUACAAUAAGCUGUAGUUGUUCUAGUGACUAUAGUGUCCCUUUAAAGUUAUGCAAUUGUAAAGGCUUAUCCAGGUAUCACAGUUUUUGCUUUCUGUUUACAUUGUAUAACUACCUGUUUGACACGUAACUUAUCUGAUAUAUUCUACUGAACUUUCAAAGCCAUUUGAACUGUGCCCUCAGAGUUCAGGAAGUUUUUCUUUACCAU
Non-coding RNA from Pelobates cultripes (western spadefoot toad), 527 nucleotides. The record is from the annotation of a GenBank genome assembly. Lineage: Eukaryota; Metazoa; Chordata; Amphibia; Anura; Pelobatidae.